This 556-nucleotide ribosomal RNA is filed under the name uncultured Staphylococcus sp. RNAcentral describes it as "bacterial SSU rRNA". It matches the Rfam family "Bacterial small subunit ribosomal RNA", at positions 333 to 880 of the family's 1533-position model. Lineage: Bacteria; Bacillati; Bacillota; Bacilli; Caryophanales; Staphylococcaceae. The record is from RNAcentral.
AGACUCCUACGGGAGGCAGCAGUGGGGAAUAUUGGACAAUGGGGGGAACCCUGAUCCAGCCAUGCCGCGUGUGUGAAGAAGGCCUUUUGGUUGUAAAGCACUUUAAGUGGGGAGGAGGCUCUCUUGGUUAAUACCUAGGAAGAGUGGACGUUACCCACAGAAUAAGCACCGGCUAACCCUGUGCCAGCAGCCGCGGUAAUACAGAGGGUGCGAGCGUUAAUCGGAUUUACUGGGCGUAAAGCGCGCGUAGGUGGUUAAUUAAGUCAAAUGUGAAAUCCCCGAGCUUAACUUGGGAAUUGCAUUCGAUACUGGUUAGCUAGAGUAUGGGAGAGGAUGGUAGAAUUCCAGGUGUAGCGGUGAAAUGCGUAGAGAUCUGGAGGAAUACCGAUGGCGAAGGCAGCCAUCUGGCCUAAUACUGACACUGAGGUGCGAAAGCAUGGGGAGCAAACAGGAUUAGAUACCCUGGUAGUCCAUGCCGUAAACGAUGUCUACUAGCCGUUGGGGGAUUUGAUCCUUUAGUGGCGCAGCUAACGCGAUAAGUAGACCGCCUGGGGAG